GCCAGCAGCCAUAUCACCCUGCAACUCACAGCUGGCAGCCCACUGAAGCUCAGCAGGUGUGAGCCUGGCCAGUACCUGGAUGGGAGUCUCCUGGGAAAAACUAAGGUUGCUGCUGGAA
Ribosomal RNA from Lepisosteus oculatus (spotted gar), 118 nucleotides. The record is from Rfam. Lineage: Eukaryota; Metazoa; Chordata; Actinopteri; Semionotiformes; Lepisosteidae.